GAUGAACGCUGGCGGCGUGCCUAACACAUGCAAGUCGAGCGAGAAAUCUUGGAACGAUACUUCGGUAAAGGGAAGAGAUGGAAAGCGGCGGACGGGUGAGUAACGCGUAGGCAACCUGCCCCAUACAGAGGGAUAGCCUCGGGAAACUGGGAUUAAAACCUCAUAACGCGAAGAAGCUGCAUGGCAACUUCGCCAAAGAUUUAUCGGUAAGGGAUGGGCCUGCGUCUGAUUAGCUAGUUGGUAGGGUAACGGCCUACCAAGGCAACGAUCAGUAGCCGACCUGAGAGGGUAAUCGGCCACAUUGGAACUGAGACACGGUCCAAACUCCUACGGGAGGCAGCAGUGGGGAAUAUUGCACAAUGGGCGAAAGCCUGAUGCAGCAACGCCGCGUGAACGAAGAAGGCUUUCGGGUCGUAAAGUUCUGUCCUUGGGGAAGAAAAAAAUGACGGUACCCUUGGAGGAAGCCCCGGCUAACUACGUGCCAGCCGCCGCGGUAACAC
This 500-nucleotide ribosomal RNA is filed under the name uncultured bacterium. Its description in RNAcentral is "bacterial SSU rRNA". It matches the Rfam family "Bacterial small subunit ribosomal RNA", at positions 28 to 526 of the family's 1533-position model. The record is from RNAcentral.